UGCAAGUCGAACGCUCACCUUCGGGUGGGAGUGGCAGACGGGUGAGUAACACGUGGGAACGUACCCUUUGGUUCGGGACAACUCUGGGAAACUGGAGCUAAUACCGGAUACGCCCUUUUGGGGAAAGGUUUACUGCCGAAGGAUCGGCCCGCGUCUGAUUAGCUAGUUGGUGGGGUAACGGCCUACCAAGGCGACGAUCAGUAGCUGGUCUGAGAGGAUGAUCAGCCACACUGGGACUGAGACACGGCCCAGACUCCUACGGGAGGCAGCAGUGGGGAAUAUUGGACAAUGGGCGCAAGCCUGAUCCAGCCAUGCCGCGUGAGUGAUGAAGGCCUUAGGGUUGUAAAGCUCUUUUAUCCGGGACGAUAAUGACGGUACCGGAGGAAUAAGCCCCGGCUAACUUCGUGCCAGCAGCCGCGGUAAUACGAAGGGGGCUAGCGUUGCUCGGAAUCACUGGGCGUAAAGGGCGCGUAGGCGGCGUUUUAAGUCGGGGGUGAAAGCCUGUGGCUCAACCACAGAAUGGCCUUCAUACUGGGACGCUUGAGUCUGGUAGAGGUUGGUGGAA
Molecule: ribosomal RNA, 565 nt
Filed under: uncultured bacterium
Lineage: Bacteria
Description: bacterial SSU rRNA
Rfam family: Bacterial small subunit ribosomal RNA
Source: RNAcentral